Molecule: small nuclear RNA, 107 nt
Organism: Heterocephalus glaber (naked mole-rat)
Lineage: Eukaryota; Metazoa; Chordata; Mammalia; Rodentia; Bathyergidae
Source: Ensembl
GUGCUCACUUUGACAGCACAUAUACUAAAAUUGGAAUGAUACACAGAAGAUCAGCAUGGCCCCUGUGCAAGGAUGAUAUGCAAAUUCAUGAAGCGUUCCAUAUAAAA